Small nuclear RNA from Microtus oregoni (creeping vole), 104 nucleotides. The record is from RefSeq and is a predicted model, not a curated record. NCBI's taxonomy places the organism in Eukaryota, Metazoa, Chordata, Mammalia, Rodentia, Cricetidae.
GUGCAUGCCUAUGUAGGCAGCACAUAUACUAAAAUUGGAAUGAUACAGAGAGAUUAGCAUGGCCCUUCUGGAAGGAUGAUACACAAGACAUUUUCCACAUAAAU